RNAcentral lists this unclassified non-coding RNA (292 nucleotides) under Hevea brasiliensis (rubber tree). Lineage: Eukaryota; Viridiplantae; Streptophyta; Magnoliopsida; Malpighiales; Euphorbiaceae. The record is from RNAcentral.
GCAAUCCUUAAGUUUUCUUUUCUUUUCUUUAAAAGAAAAAUUAAGAUUCAGCUUUCAAAAGUAGAUUUUGAUAUUGCAGGGGCAACCUUCUUUCACGUUCAAAUGGAAACUGCUCUUACUUUUCUAUCUAGUGAUGUUGUAUGAUGCUAGAAUGUGUGUUUUUUGACUAAUCUGGAUUAUGUCGAAGUAAGGACAGUUUUAGAUCAAAUAAAAAGAUUUUGAAAUGAACUGUCACUUUGCUUGCUUAAGAACGGGCUCAAACUAGGCUGAGGACGAUUCAAAACCUAAUCUA